GUCAUUUGGUCAUUUGCUAUUUUGAUUUUUUUAAAUGAAAAAAAAAAUCACAAACAUCCCUUGGGGUUACCUUGCUUACGCAGGUAGCUGACAAUUUACGAUAAUUUUUUAAUUUGUCCCUAGAUGGCGCAUGGCGAAUAAGUUUCAGCCAUUGACAGCAGACAGCAUAUUACACGUCAUUUUGUUCUGGACAGAAGAAAGUGACUUUUCUAGAAAUCAUCGUUCGGCUUUAUUUUACGCGAAGCUAUUACAGAAAACUCCAGCCGAUACACAGUUCAAUCAAAAUUCGUAAUAAGGAAGAAGGAGAGAAAAGAAAACUUUAGUGUGACAAGAUGGAAAACGAAAAAAUGUUGGGAGGGUCGAGAAUUUGGAGAUAUAUCACUUCUGAACUUAACACUGAACAGCCUGAAAUUCUCUAAAUUUAUUUCUCAUUGGCCAACAAGCAACAAGGCAACAUCUGAUGAUUCUGAUCUUGCCAUGAACGGAAGAGAACACUUGGUGCAAGAUCAUAAUUUGGUUUACAUUUGAAGAGAAAGUGAGGAGAAAAUACUUCAAGGAUCUCAUUCCUCCAACAAUUAUGGCAGAUUUGUUCCCGGAUUACCCUCGCUGCUGUUCGAUAGACUAUCAAUUGGCGGAAAAUGAAAAGUGGUCGGCCGCGCUGAAAUUCAAGAUAGAUAUAUUAUAUAAAUGUUUGUAAAUUACAAGUGCAUAUCUGGGCUCCCUUCUUCAGUGGCCCCGUUUCCCUAAAUAACCACUAACCAACGCCCGCCGGUGGUCACUCACUCGCUGCGACAACCAGGAGGAAGGGAGAUGUUUGGUCGAACGGGGACUUGCAAGGCGCAUGAUUCGAUGAAAUCUGUUGGAGGGUCAUGAGUCUAAACCGGAAGCCUACUAUGACAUACUGCUCUCAUAAUAACUGCUCCUCAGCUCUCAUCGCUCUUUUUCCGGUUUCUCUUAACCAUGGCCGGGUAUUCUCCCUGGUCGAGUCAGUCGGGCAGUGUCUCCCCCUGCUCGACUGGCAGCAGUUUGGACCAGACGGUCUGUUUAUUGAAUAAACCAUGCACAAAAAAUUA
Molecule: long non-coding RNA, 1073 nt
Organism: Daphnia pulex (common water flea)
Lineage: Eukaryota; Metazoa; Arthropoda; Branchiopoda; Diplostraca; Daphniidae
Exons: 4
Source: RefSeq, a predicted model, not a curated record